This 429-nucleotide ribosomal RNA is filed under the name Gemmatimonadota bacterium. Its description in RNAcentral is "Gemmatimonadetes bacterium partial 16S ribosomal RNA". It matches the Rfam family "Bacterial small subunit ribosomal RNA", at positions 355 to 776 of the family's 1533-position model. The record is from RNAcentral. Lineage: Bacteria; Pseudomonadati; Gemmatimonadota.
UAGGGAAUCUUCGGCAAUGGACGAAAGUCUGACCGAGCAACGCCGCGUGAGUGAAGAAGGUUUUCGGAUCGUUAAACUCUGUUGUUAGAGAAGAACAAGGACGUUAGUAACUGAACGUCCCCUGACGGUAUCUAACCAGAAAGCUACGGCUAACUACGUGCCAGCAGCCGCGGUAAUACGUAGGUGGCAAGCGUUGUCCGGAUUUAUUGGGCGUAAAGCGAGCGCAGGCGGUUUCUUAAGUCUGAUGUGAAAGCCCCCGGCUCAACCGGGGAGGGUCAUUGGAAACUGGGAGACUUGAGUGCAGAAGAGGAGAGUGGAAUUCCAUGUGUAGCGGUGACAUGCGUAGAUAUAUGGAGGAACACCAGUAGAGAAGGCGGCUCUCUGGUCUGUCACUGACGCUGAGGCUCGAAAGCGUGGGGAGCAAACAGG